This 1482-nucleotide ribosomal RNA is filed under the name uncultured archaeon. Its description in RNAcentral is "bacterial SSU rRNA". It matches the Rfam family "Archaeal small subunit ribosomal RNA". The record is from RNAcentral.
UUUCUGGUUGAUCCUGCCAGACCUUACUGCUAUCGGGGUGGGACUAAGACAUGCGAGUCGAGCGUCUCUAGCUAUGUUGAGACGCGGCAUACGGCUCAGUAACACGUGGCUAACCUACCCUCAGGACGGGGACAAACCCGGGAAACUGGGGCUAAUAUCCGAUAGGCGAGGAAUCCUGGAAUGGUUCUUCACCCAAAGGACAUUGGAAACAUGCUUUCAAUGUCGCCUGAGGAUGGAGCCGCGUCCGAUCAGGUUGUUGGUGAGGUAAUGGCUCACCAAGCCUAUAACCGGUACGGGCCGUGAGAGCGGUAGCCCGGAGAUGGGUACUGAGACAAGGACCCAGGCCCUACGGGGCGCAGCAGUCGCGAAAACUCCGCAAUGCACGCAAGUGUGACGGGGCUACCCCGAGUGCCUUCCGCUGAGGAAGGCUUUUCCUUGGUAUAACUAGCCAGGGGAAUAAGGAGAGGGCAAGACUGGUGUCAGCCGCCGCGGUAAUACCAGCUCUCCGAGUGGUAGGGAUGAUUAUUGGGCUUAAAGCGUCCGUAGCCGGCUUAGCAAGUUUCCUGUUAAACCCAGCGACUCAAUCGUUGGUCCGCGGGAAAUACUACUAGGCUAGGAGGCGGGAGAGGUCAACGGUACUUCUGGGGUAGGGGUGAAAUCCUAUAAUCCCGGGAGGACCACCAGUGGCGAAGGCGUCAGACUGGAACGCGCCCGACGGUGAGGGACGAAAGCCAGGGGAGCGAACCGGAUUAGAUACCCGGGUAGUCCUGGCCGUAAACGAUGCGUGCUAGGUGUUGGUAUGGCUAUGAGCCGUAUCAGUGCCGUAGGGAAACCGUUAAGCGCGCCGCCUGGGGAGUACGGUCGCAAGAUUGAAACUUAAAGGAAUUGGCGGGGGAGCACCACAAGGGGUGAAGCCUGCGGUUCAAUUGGACUCAACGCCGGGAAUCUUACCGGGGGCGCCAGCAGUAUGAAGGUCAGGCUGACGACCUUACCAGACAGGCUAAGAGGUGGUGCAUGGCCCGUCGCCAGUUCGUGCCGUGAGGUAUCCUGUUAAGUCAGGCAACGAACGAGACCCGCACCUUUAGUUGCCAGCAAGAGGCUUCGGCCUCGUUGGGAACGCUAAAGGGACCGCCAUCUUAUAGAUGGAUGAAGGAGCGGGCCACGGCAGGUCAGUAUGCCCCGAAUCCCCCGGGCCACACGCGGGCUGCAAUGGUAUGGACAAUGGGACGCAACUCCGAAAGGAGAAGCCAAUCUCUAAACCAUAUCUCAGUUGGGAUUGUCGGCUGCAACCCGCCGACAUGAACGUGGAAUCCCUAGUAAUCGUGUGUCAUCAUCGCACGGUGAAUACGUCUCUGCUCCUUGCACACACCGCCCGUCGCUCCAUCCGAGUGUAGGACAAAUGAGAUCUGGUCCUCAGGGUCACAUCGAAUUUGUAUUACGCGAGGAGGGAGAAGUCGUAACAAGGUAACCUCAGUCGGUCAA